UGCCUUUCUAUUUCCCUAAUCAGGCCAUCAACUUCAGAUUCUUGCCCCAAAAUCGUGUCUUUCCCUUCUCCUCGUCAUCCCCUUUCCAAGAUCUGAGACUGGCGAUGGGGCGGAGGCUCAGUUUGGCAUCGUGUUCCAUAGGCGCUCGUGAUCCCCUCUGUGGUACGUGGUCAGCCGCCACCUUCCACUUCGACCUCUCGCCCGCCCACCCAAUUACCCAACACAGACGCUGACGCGCGGCAAUUCCUCCUCCGGUCGCCACUCCCUGGCAUAAUCCCUCUCGCUGGCGGAUUCUCCCUGCUCCACCUUGUCGGGAUUUCGAGGAGCUCGUGAACGAAGUCUCUCGCGCCGUCGGCGAACAGAUCAGGCCACCAUGGCCAACAGGGAGAGGUUGCUGGUCGCACAAGCAACCGCGGCUGCCGGAGCCAUGGAUUUAGGGCUUGCCUGUCUUUUGCACGACAUCUUGCUUUGGAUGAGGAUAAAAGUCGGAGAUGAUUUCCCGAAUCUCAGAAACCUGGUUGUGAUAAGGAAGUUCAUGUAAGGUUACUGAAGGUAUUUUGUACGGAGAUAUGUGCACUGGAGACAUAAGAAAGAGACACAGUGGUCCUUUGUUGCCCCUGCGUUGGAGCUUAUCAUUUAAAAGCAUGGCAUGCGAUCAAAGAGAGAGCGGAUGUAGUAAGCGCAGAGAUGAUUGGUACCUAUGUUUUGUUGUCUGCUGGAAUCUCGGCGUUCAUAUAGGGAAGAGUCGUCUUCCUUUGAACAAUCUCUAAUGGUAUGCUCCACUCAAACAUACCUAUAGAUUUUUUUGGCAGCAUAUGAAUAUAUCCACUGGUGUAUGAAACAAUCUAUCUCAUAUUAGAACUCCCAUUUUCCUUGAUGUCAGUAUAAGAUCAAAUGCUUACAUAAGAGAAUAAUCAUCGGAAAUUGAUAAUGUGGUCUUUAAUUUGGAAUUUUCAUAUCGAACCAUACCUGGGUAUUGCACCGGGGGUUGUUUAUUCACUGCAUUAUUCACCUAAUUCUGUAAUGAACUUUGAAGAGGGAUUGCUAAAUUCUAAUAGUAAGAAUUUGAGACAAAUGUGUUACAUGCACCUAUUUUUUGUUUCUGGAAAUUCUGCUUGAGGAUAGUUCUCAUUCUGUUACAUGCAUGCCAUGGACGCGGAGGGGUUGUUGGCGGUAUCGGUGAUCAACCUAGGACUGGUGCGGUGGCGUUGUCGCUCUUCUCCAUGUUGAAGUAGCAGCCAAGGAACACGCUUAUGUACCUACCACAGCGGAUGGAGGCAGGAGGCGUUGGUGGUGGCUUGUGGCCAGUGUGCGCGGGGCUGCUGACCCUGGCGCGACAUGCUUUUCAUAACUCUUUUCUUUUUCAGAAUAGAUUUGAGAAGUAGUAGGAAUACCCAUAUUUUAGAGUAUAUGAUUUUUUGGGCUGUAGAUGGUUCCCUUCGCUAUCUGAUACAAUGAUAUUACUGAAUUUUCUACAUGUAAGUUGAUGUAAACCACAAAUGGAAAGCUAAUUUUUUUACGAUGAAAUGGUUCCUGUACUUUGUUCUUCUUUGUUAAUCCUAAAUUAUACUCAUAACUCGUAAGGGCACCAACUUUGUUACAGCACUUCUUACAAUGUUAUACUCCGUAUAAUAUUUUUCUCCAUGAAGAUGUAUAUGCCUUAGAUUCGUGGUAUUGCCUAAAGUGUUAUCACUGCCACAACCAGUAACGUCAAGAGUCUAUAAUGGUAAUUUGGAGUUUUCCAUAAGGUUUAAAUUGUUAAUGCAACUUCUCGAUGAUUUGAUAGUAAAAUAAAAUUAUAUAUUCAAAUUAAAUCAAAAUUGUUAAGAAUAUCUAUACUGCAGACAUUAUCACAUAUUUAGGAGCAUGAAAUUUAAGGAACCGUAGCAACGCACGGUUGAAUAGGCCAGUUUUCGUGGCUGGGCUGCUACUGCCCACAUCGACCUAGGCCCUUGCUGGUUGUUUGGGCCCCAAAACUGUCUAACGGGCCGACUUGUUUGCUCAUGCGGUUGAUUACUCCCCGGCCCGAGCGGUUCUCCUCUUCACAUCUACCUAGCGGCGACGGCGACGGCGACGGCGGCGUGCGGCACGAGCACGAAUCAGCCAUCUUCCUCCCUCUUCCUUGCCUCACAGACAUUUCUGUUCUUUGUUUCAGGAAUUGCGGACUCACUGGGGGCUGGAUUCAGUGUGGGGGCAUUAGGUUUUGCGGCCUCUCGAUGCAGAAGAAGCAUGAUCUGGGAUUAGACGUAUGCAUCAACUAGGCUCAGGCCUCAUGGCGCUCCAUGCUUCCGUGAGAAGCUGAUGUAGCUGAGGCGCCAAUUCUAAUCUGCCGGCCUCGCCACAACGAGUUGGGUCUGACAGGAGAAGUUUUUGGCAAACAUGAGGCAGCUCCGCAGCUGUAGAGCCGUACACAUGAGACUAUAUGAGAGAUGUUCGAGCUCUGGCGUGCCACUGCAAUGACCGUUUAUUGAUAGGAAUCCCUCUAAAAACCAUGCCGAUCUUCUUUGACAAACUGCAGUCUCACGCUGCCAUCCAAGACGGCUGCAUCGCUUCUUCCCUAUGCUGUCCAAGAGGUGCGAGGAGGAUCGAGCAGGAAGACCCACUGAGAUUGACAACAAGCAGCAUUGUACCCUGAUCAAAUUAUCGACUCUAAGAACCUGAACAAAGACACAAAUUUUACUUAGGUGAAGUCUGUGAAGAUAGGAGAAAAGGCUUAAAACGAAGAAGGAUGAGGCAGCUAGCCCAUAUAGAUGUAAUGGAGCUCAUAAGAGUGAGAAGAGCCAAAGAAGAAAGAUGGUAUAUGGGGUGGGAAUCAUCACAGUAUUUUGCAGGACCACCGCCUGUUACAGUGGUAGUGGUGGAAAAGAAGCGCAUGCUAAAGAGGAAGCUGUCAAGACAUGAUUAUGGCGUGGGAAAUUUAUAUUGAGGUCUAUAUGGUGCCACGAUAUGGAGACAAUAAGCUAUGCCUGGACCGUCGCUUGAUUGUUCACACAAAGUACAAUUCUUUUUCAAUUCCUCCAUAGCUAUAGGUAGAGAAAGCGACUUUGAACUCUGAUCAAUUUAUUCUUUUUACUCUUGAAUCCCAUGUAUGUUUUUAAUGUUUUACAAUGGAUGAUUGAUGAAAAGCUGCAACUAAUGCUUUUUCCGGGUCGUACAAGGAGGGUGGAAUAUAUAAAGGCAACGGAUUGCAUACUUACACAACAAUUUCUGAUAUUGAGUUUCAUGACUUGCAAUUUUGAACCAUAUAUGGUGGACAGCUUGUUUCAUUGGAUGUGUGAGUAGAAUGCAAUAUUGUAUCUUGCAUUCUAAAUUGCUGUUUUUUGGGUUGAUCAUUUGGACCUUGAAGAGACUGCUUAUCAGCAAAACCUUCUCUCUAUAUUGAUACCCUAUAUUACUUGGCAUUUAUUUAAAAUCAUUUGAUCUUUUAA
Lolium perenne is the source of this 3428-nucleotide long non-coding RNA. RefSeq lists it as uncharacterized. Lineage: Eukaryota; Viridiplantae; Streptophyta; Magnoliopsida; Poales; Poaceae. The record is from RefSeq and is a predicted model, not a curated record.